GGGUUGUGAGGUUAAGCGACUAAGCGUACACGGUGGAUGCCCUGGCAGUCAGAGGCGAUGAAGGACGUGCUAAUCUGCGAAAAGCGUCGGUAAGGUGAUAUGAACCGUUAUAACCGGCGAUGUCCGAAUGGGGAAACCCAGUGCAAUUCGUUGCACUAUCGUUAACUGAAUACAUAGGUUAACGAGGCGAACCGGGGGAACUGAAACAUCUAAGUACCCCGAGGAAAAGAAAUCAACCGAGAUUCCCCCAGUAGCGGCGAGCGAACGGGGAGCAGCCCAGAGUCUGAAUCAGCUUGUGUGUUAGUGGAACGGUCUGGAAAGUCCGACGGUACAGGGUGAUAGUCCCGUACACCAAAAUGCACAGGCUGUGAACUCGAAGAGUAGGGCGGGACACGUGGUAUCCUGUCUGAAUAUGGGGGGACCAUCCUCCAAGGCUAAAUACUCCUGACUGACCGAUAGUGAACCAGUACCGUGAGGGAAAGGCGAAAAGAACCCCGGCGAGGGGAGUGAAAAAGAACCUGAAACCGUGUACGUACAAGCAGUGGGAGCACCUUCGGGUGUGACUGCGUACCUUUUGUAUAAUGGGUCAGCGACUUAUAUUCUGUAGCAAGGUUAACCGUAUAGGGGAGCCGCAGGGAAACCGAGUCUUAACUGGGCGUUAAGUUGCAGGGUAUAGACCCGAAACCCGGUGAUCUAGCCAUGGGCAGGUUGAAGGUUGGGUAACACUAACUGGAGGACCGAACCGACUAAUGUUGAAAAAUUAGCGGAUGACUUGUGGCUGGGGGUGAAAGGCCAAUCAAACCGGGAGAUAGCUGGUUCUCCCCGAAAGCUAUUUAGGUAGCGCCUCGUGAAUUCAUCUUCGGGGGUAGAGCACUGUUUCGGCUAGGGGGUCAUCCCGACUUACCAACCCGAUGCAAACUACGAAUACCGAAGAAUGUUAUCACGGGAGACACACGGCGGGUGCUAACGUCCGUCGUGAAGAGGGAAACAACCCAGACCGCCAGCUAAGGUCCCAAAGUCAUGGUUAAGUGGGAAACGAUGUGGGAAGGCACAGACAGCCAGGAUGUUGGCUUAGAAGCAGCCAUCAUUUAAAGAAAGCGUAAUAGCUCACUGGUCGAGUCGGCCUGCGCGGAAGAUGUAACGGGGCUAAACCAUGCACCGAAGCUGCGGCAGCGACACUAUGUGUUGUUGGGUAGGGGAGCGUUCUGUAAGCCUGCGAAGGUGACCUGUGAGGGUUGCUGGAGGUAUCAGAAGUGCGAAUGCUGACAUAAGUAACGAUAAAGCGGGUGAAAAGCCCGCUCGCCGGAAGACCAAGGGUUCCUGUCCAACGUUAAUCGGGGCAGGGUGAGUCGACCCCUAAGGCGAGGCCGAAAGGCGUAGUCGAUGGGAAACAGGUUAAUAUUCCUGUACUUGGUGUUACUGCGAAGGGGGGACGGAGAAGGCUAUGUUAGCCGGGCGACGGUUGUCCCGGUUUAAGCAUGUAGGCUGGUUAUCCAGGCAAAUCCGGAUAAUCAAGGCUGAGGUGUGAUGACGAGGCACUACGGUGCUGAAGUAACAAAUGCCCUGCUUCCAGGAAAAGCCUCUAAGCAUCAGGUAACAUCAAAUCGUACCCCAAACCGACACAGGUGGUCAGGUAGAGAAUACCAAGGCGCUUGAGAGAACUCGGGUGAAGGAACUAGGCAAAAUGGUGCCGUAACUUCGGGAGAAGGCACGCUGGUGUGUAGGUGAAGCCCCUGCGGGUGGAGCUGAGACCAGUCGAAGAUACCAGCUGGCUGCAACUGUUUAUUAAAAACACAGCACUGUGCAAACACGAAAGUGGACGUAUACGGUGUGACGCCUGCCCGGUGCCGGAAGGUUAAUUGAUGGGGUUAUCCGUAAGGAGAAGCUCUUGAUCGAAGCCCCGGUAAACGGCGGCCGUAACUAUAACGGUCCUAAGGUAGCGAAAUUCCUUGUCGGGUAAGUUCCGACCUGCACGAAUGGCGUAAUGAUGGCCAGGCUGUCUCCACCCGAGACUCAGUGAAAUUGAACUCGCUGUGAAGAUGCAGUGUACCCGCGGCAAGACGGAAAGACCCCGUGAACCUUUACUAUAGCUUGACACUGAACAUUGAGCCUUGAUGUGUAGGAUAGGUGGGAGGCUUUGAAGCGUGGACGCCAGUCUGCGUGGAGCCAACCUUGAAAUACCACCCUUUAAUGUUUGAUGUUCUAACGUUGGCCCCUGACCGGGGUUGCGGACAGUGUCUGGUGGGUAGUUUGACUGGGGCGGUCUCCUCCCAAAGCGUAACGGAGGAGCACGAAGGUUAGCUAAUCCUGGUCGGACAUCAGGAGGUUAGUGCAAUGGCAUAAGCUAGCUUGACUGCGAGCGUGACGGCGCGAGCAGGUGCGAAAGCAGGUCAUAGUGAUCCGGUGGUUCUGAAUGGAAGGGCCAUCGCUCAACGGAUAAAAGGUACUCCGGGGAUAACAGGCUGAUACCGCCCAAGAGUUCAUAUCGACGGCGGUGUUUGGCACCUCGAUGUCGGCUCAUCACAUCCUGGGGCUGAAGUAGGUCCCAAGGGUAUGGCUGUUCGCCAUUUAAAGUGGUACGCGAGCUGGGUUUAGAACGUCGUGAGACAGUUCGGUCCCUAUCUGCCGUGGGCGCUGGAGAAUUGAGGGGGGCUGCUCCUAGUACGAGAGGACCGGAGUGGACGCAUCACUGGUGUUCGGGUUGUCAUGCCAAUGGCACUGCCCGGUAGCUAAAUGCGGAAGAGAUAAGUGCUGAAAGCAUCUAAGCACGAAACUUGCCCCGAGAUGAGUUCUCCCUGAGACUUUAAGUCUCCUGAAGGAACGUUGAAGACGACGACGUUGAUAGGCCGGGUGUGUAAGCGCAGCGAUGCGUUGAGCUAACCGGUACUAAUGAACCGUGAGGCUUAACCUUACAACGCCGAAG
This 2923-nucleotide ribosomal RNA is filed under the name Klebsiella pneumoniae. RNAcentral describes it as "23S ribosomal RNA". It matches the Rfam family "Bacterial large subunit ribosomal RNA". Lineage: Bacteria; Pseudomonadati; Pseudomonadota; Gammaproteobacteria; Enterobacterales; Enterobacteriaceae. The record is from RNAcentral.